ACAAAAAGGAUAUAAAAAAGGAGUGUCAGUACUUUACCAAUCAAUAUAAAAAUAAUGGAUACAUUGCAAAGUUUUGGAAUUUCUUGCUUGAUGACUAUCGUUAUAAUCCCAGGAAUGCUUAUCGCCUUUUUGUACGGACUUCGAAUAAGGAGAUCACUGGGCAACUUUAUUUUAGUAAUGGCUUAUGACCGAAUGGAACCGGGAUACUUAUGUUCAAUUUGUUUAGAAUGCGUCAACGAAGGUUGCUGUGAUCUGUUUAUCGUGCAUCGUUUAGCUUGCGGGCAUUGGUUCCAUAAGAAAUGCAUAUAUGUCUGGCUAAUGAAAAAUACCAACUGCCCGAAUUGCCGUCGACAGCAAUACAGCCUCAACUUGUACCUAAACUACAUGUUUGAGCCCUAUAACCGCUACCGCUGAAGACGUACUUAUACUUGCAGUUUUUGUAAGAGCAGUUGUGAAGAAUUGCGA
Drosophila innubila is the source of this 465-nucleotide long non-coding RNA. RefSeq lists it as uncharacterized. The record is from RefSeq and is a predicted model, not a curated record. Lineage: Eukaryota; Metazoa; Arthropoda; Insecta; Diptera; Drosophilidae. The transcript is spliced from 2 exons.